This 505-nucleotide ribosomal RNA is filed under the name uncultured bacterium. RNAcentral describes it as "partial 16S ribosomal RNA". It matches the Rfam family "Bacterial small subunit ribosomal RNA", at positions 28 to 507 of the family's 1533-position model. The record is from RNAcentral.
GACGAACGCUGGCGGCGUGCCUAAUACAUGCAAGUGGGACGCAAGGAAACACACUGUGCUUGCACACCGUGUUUUCUUGAGUCGCGAACGGGUGAGUAACGCGUAGGUAACCUGCCUAUUAGCGGGGGAUAACUAUUGGAAACGAUAGCUAAUACCGCAUAAUAUUAAUUAUUGCAUGAUAAUUGAUUGAAAGAUGCAAGCGCAUCACUAGUAGAUGGACCUGCGUUGUAUUAGCUAGUUGGUAAGGUAAGAGCUUACCAAGGCGACGAUACAUAGCCGACCUGAGAGGGUGAUCGGCCACACUGGGACUGAGACACGGCCCAGACUCCUACGGGAGGCAGCAGUAGGGAAUCUUCGGCAAUGGACGAAAGUCUGACCGAGAAACGCCGCGUGAGUGAAGAAGGGUUUCGGAUCGUAAAGCUCUGUUGUAAGUCAAGAACGUGUGUGAGAGUGGAAAGUUCACACAGUGACGGUAGCUUACCAGAAAGGGACGGCUAACUACGUG